UGGGGAAUAUUGGACAAUGGGCGAAAGCCUGAUCCAGCAAUGCCGCGUGUGUGAAGAAGGCCUUCGGGUUGUAAAGCACUUUAAGUUGGGAAGAAAAAGCUCUGGCUAAUAUCUAGAGCCUUGACGGUACCAACAGAAUAAGCACCGGCUAACUCUGUGCCAGCAGCCGCGGUAAUACAGAGGGUGCUAGCGUUAAUCGGAUUUACUGGGCGUAAAGCGUGCGUAGGCGGUUUGAUAAGUCGAUUGUGAAAGCCCCGGGCUUAACCUGGGAAUUGCAGUUGAUACUGUCAGACUAGAAAACGGUAGAGGGAGGCGGAACUCCAGGUGUAGCGGUGAAAUGCGUAGAUAUCUGGAAGAACACCGAUGGCGAAGGUAACCUCCUGGGCCUGUUUUGACGCUGAGGCACGAAAGCGUGGGUAGCAAACAGGAUUAGAUACCCUGGUAGUCCACGCCGUAAACGAUGAGAACUUGACGUUGGUUUUGCUUAGCAAAUCGGUGUCGUGCUAACGCGAUAAGUUCUCCGCCUGGGGAGUACGGCC
RNAcentral lists this ribosomal RNA (539 nucleotides) under uncultured bacterium. Its description in RNAcentral is "partial 16S ribosomal RNA". It matches the Rfam family "Bacterial small subunit ribosomal RNA", at positions 355 to 887 of the family's 1533-position model. The record is from RNAcentral.